RNAcentral lists this small nucleolar RNA (321 nucleotides) under Poecilia reticulata (guppy). The record is from RNAcentral. Lineage: Eukaryota; Metazoa; Chordata; Actinopteri; Cyprinodontiformes; Poeciliidae.
AUCCAGUGAUGAAACCUUGGCAUUAUUUAUGAUCUGAUCACACUUAGAAACUGUGGUUCUUAGUCAGCUGUUUGGUGAGUAGUCUUGGUAGUGUGAUUGAGUUUUAUUACACUGCUGUAAGGGCUCACCUAUAGUCAAACUUCCAUCUUCUGUAACUUAUACCCAUGAUGAGAAAUUUCGUGGGAUAUGUAGAAGAUGUCAAACAUUGUGUAACUUCUUGUUCGUCUCAGUGUGAAUGUUUAUGUAUCAGCUGACAAAAGGCUGUAGUGUCUAUAGAAGGUUUGACAGAUAUGAACAGUCAUCUUUGGUAAUCUGAGGAUA